Molecule: ribosomal RNA, 402 nt
Filed under: Verrucomicrobiota bacterium
Lineage: Bacteria; Pseudomonadati; Verrucomicrobiota
Description: Verrucomicrobia bacterium partial 16S ribosomal RNA
Rfam family: Bacterial small subunit ribosomal RNA
Source: RNAcentral
UGGGGAAUUUUGCACAAUGGGGGAAACCCUGAUGCAGCGACGCCGCGUGAUUUAGAAGGCCUUCGGGUUGUAAAAAUCUUUUGUAUGGGAAGAAAAUGACAGUACCAUACGAAUAAGGACCGGCUAAUUACGUGCCAGCAGCCGCGGUAAUACGUAAGGUCCGAGCGUUGUCCGGAAUCAUUGGGCGUAAAGGGUACGUAGGCGGAUAAGCAAGUUAGAAGUGAAAUCCUAUAGCUCAACUAUAGUAAGCUUUUAAAACUGCUCAUCUUGAGGUAUGGAAGGGAAAGUGGAAUUCCUAGUGGAGCGGUGAAAUGCGCAGAUAUUAGGAGGAAUACCGGUGGCGAAGGCGACUUUCUGGCCAUAUACUGACGCUGAGGUACGAAAGCGUGGGUAGCAAACAGG